UUUUCUUCACUCAAUAAAAUGACCAAAUCCCCAUGUUUGUCUCAUAAUCCAAACAACCCCCUACAUCUAAGAACCCUAGAUUCCCUAAUUUAUAAAAUGCUCUCAAAUCUUCCUCUCUACCCCGCCGUCUUUCGUCGCCCGUAAAUCGGCAUCUGGCAGGGACUACCACCAAAUGACCCCAAAUUUUCACCAAAUACUCCUCACCACCUCCUCAACCCUAAUCCAGCAUCAUACUCCCUAAAACCCCUCUCAACCUCGCCGAUUAGAAGAUCUAGGAAUAUAUUUUGGCCCAUUUUCCUAAUUACCAUCAACCCAGUGUCAUCUUUAUCUAACUCUUACAACAAAUGAUAUGUCUUUGAGAGACCGUUCAUUUGGGGUCAUUAGUUCACUUCAAUUCUGGUGGCCAAUUCCCCCCAAAACUUUCACCUUUCAUUUUUAAUUGGCGUGCUAAAGUUAUUGUUAUAUGUAGCACUGUCCGAAAUGAAGAAAUCACGGCCAGUACUCGUGUAGCAAUAAUCUUUUCACGUCGGAGUUCAUUUUUGUCAUCUUGAUUCAAUUAGAACAGGUAUAUCUUUCUCUUACUAUUCUUAAUUGUUUAAUUAUGUGUUUAACUUUUAUUGGUCUGAAUUCGUUUUAAUUAAGUUAAGUUUAGUUGUACAAACUUAUGCUCUAAUUGCAACUUGUCACAACCCCAAUAUCCCACCUUAAGGUGUCGUGAUGGCACCUAGUCUCUAAGACUAGUAAGCCUAACAUACAUGAAAAAAUAACAAAAAUAAUAAUAGAAACUAUACAUCCCUAAUACAUCAAUAUCAAUAAUAAGAGUAUGCAACAAAAAUCAAGGACAGAAGGUGACUUCGAGACAUCCGAACGCCGGCAGAUAUACCUUGAAGUCUCCAAUCUGGAAGUUCUACUCACUGGUGCCUAGCUUGGUAUGAGGCACUUGAAUAUUCACAAAAAGAUGUGCGGAAGCGUAGUAUGAGUACACCACAAUAUACCCAGCAAGUAUCAAGCCUAACAUCGGUAAGCAGUGAUGAGGUCAGGUCAAAACACCUACUAGGAUAAGAAAAAGAAAUUGAACAAGUAUAAUAUAGUCUAAGAAUGUAAACAAGGAAAAUGAGGCAAUAAGGAAAUACAACAAGAUUAACUGUGUCACGAUCCAAACCGAUGGGCCGCAUGUCUACAAGCCUUUAAGAGUACAUAAAUGUCAUAAAUGUCAGGAUAGAGUCCCGCUAUACCAAACAAUACAUGUCUAAAUCAUACCAAUCAAACAUGCAACUCUGAAGCGAAUGGAGAGCACCAACAUCCUCCGCUGAGCUGAUAGCCUACUUGGGGGUCUCUCGACCUAUCUAUCUGGACCUGCGGGCAUGAAACGCAGCAUCCCCAGGCAAAAAGGGACGUUAGCACGAAUAACGUAUUGAGUAUGUAAGGCACAUAAAUAAGUACAUAACAGACGUGGAGGAAAUAUAGAAUAAAUGACUCCACAUGUAAGUCUGAAUAACUUUGUAAAUCAUGAAACAAUUAUAGUAUCAUGCAUAUGCAUAUGAAUGUCAUGUCGUGCAUAGGUACAUAUUUCAUAACAUCACCAGCCUCUGAGAGCAUCUCAUCAUAUCAUCUUGGCCACUGUGUGAAAAAUCAUCAACGUAUACCAGUUGAUCAGGUGGUGGUGCGUAUGUAACGCCAUAACCUUUCUCAUAACCCAUAUACAUAUAUAUACAUACAUAUAUACACAUAUAUAAUGCCAUCUGGUCAUGGGUCAACGUACAUGAAUGCAAUGCAUGAAAAUUACAUUAACAAAAUCUUUCGGAAUGUCAUAAGACCAAUUUGUCGUUGAGUAAUACCAUGAAAUAAACCUUAUCAAUUUACGUAUUUUCUGAGACCCAUGAACAGAUGAAAGAAUAAUAGGACACAUGGAGAAUCAAGUACAUAGGCACUUCUAACACUUCAUGAAUAGAGUCAUUUAUGAAAGUUGGUCAUUUUCUCGUUUCGUUCAUAUCGUAUAGAUCGUGCCAAAAGAAAGAAAGGAUAGCCUUAACAUACCUGAGCCUAUUCUCUUGACAAUCCUUCUAAUAUAUGUUGAUUGCGACAAAACGCAUAACGGCGGAUCGAAGUAGGGGAAAAUUCGUAUGGUAUUCUUGAGAAAGAUUGCACCGUGAUCUCUUAGAAUCGGAUUUACGCUAUUGUAGCAAUCCAUCCGUUAGCAAGCCUAGAUCUCUUGUAAGAGUUCAUAAGUAUUAUUUUGAAUUACAUGCUUUAGUUGCUGCCCAUAAUUUCCUCUUAAAUGACUAGCUCUUGUUUGAUGUGUGCAUGGAAUGAUGCAGCAAAUGGAGGUUUAAAUAAUCUUGUAAGUUUGUAAUUUGAGUAUAUCCAAAUACAAAAAUGGAAUGAAAUUAGGAACAAAUAUCACCCACUCACUUGGUAUAUGGAAACACUUUUUCGUAUGAACAACACCAGUAUGUAACAAUCUCUCAUAUUUUAAAGAUUUGUGGCUCCCACUUUUGGGAUGACUUAGUCACAAAUAUAUCUUAAAAUAUGACACCUUGCAAUUCUUUUUAAGAGUCAUUGAUUUGAAUUGUGGGCUGCCACAUUACAAUAUUAUCCAAAUAUAUCCCCAAUAAAUAGGUAAUGUCUUGUUACCCCGUAAAAUUGAGAAUUAUUUUGACUUACUUAAAAUAUUACUCACUUUUCACAUACCUUAUACACCUUACUAUUAUGAUCAUGUGGUACCUUGUAUGGUACUAGUCCAUAAAUACCGAGUAUUUUAGCUUGAGCUAGAUUUUAUCCCAAUAUGCCAAACUUGGACGAAAAUUCGUUUUCUUUGACUUGCUUCCCUUUCACCUUUACGAAUUUACUUAUUACUUAUUUGAAAUGGCAUAAUCUUUAUAAUCUCCAAAUAAUCUUUUCCAUGGACUAAUGUCAGUUACCUUAUGACAAAUUCAACGUACAACACUAUAGGGUGCAACAUCGUUGUAAUGUAGUACUGUGGGAUGUGACAUCUCACUUUCGGGUUCUCAUUAGUUUAUUUAUGGUGUGUUUUCAUGUACAAAAAUAUGGGGUGUAACAUCAUUCCCCUUUUGGAACAUUCAUCCUUGAAUGUUGAAUGAUGCGCUUAUUGUUAUCAUAUCCCAAAGCUCUUGCGAAUACUUUAGUAGUCCUUUUGUCACCUAGGCAACUAUUCUGUGAAUAAGUCCAAAGGCCAGGACAUUCCCUCCUUUAGGCCUCUUUCCCACGCCAUGACAUGUGAUCGAAUUCCUUCCACUCUCGUAACUGUUGCUGCCUUCCAUUAUGUUGCUUAUACGAUAUGAACCUUGUAAGUAUGCCUAUGCGACUCUCCUCUCCUUUUUCCUCCAGAUUUUAGCCAAUCCUGAAGUUCUUCGCUUGGUAUUUGUCGAACUUACGAAUAUUGCUAUAUCUUAUUUUAUAGACCUGGUUAUCCAUUCGUAUGGCUUUACUACACCUACAUAGGUCAUACUAUACCAUAAUUUUUACCUCGAUUUCUCAUUAUUGAAGUCUGCUACCAAAUCUCAGAUUACUUUCAUUGCUUAUCUCAUACAUAUAAAUCUAUAUCCUCUAAUGCCUCCAUAUUACUGUUCAUCUUUAAUAAUGACGGCAUAAUCUCCUCUCAUACUUUAUAACUUUUAACCAUCCAUUGUCGAUUCACCUCAAUUUCGAUCCAUAAUCUACCCCUAAUAACUCAACCUUUUCUGUAAUAUUGCUACUAGGAAUCACAUUUUAUCGGGGAACAUCUGAAAUGGUUAGAAUGAUCCACCAGAGGAGAUACCCUGCUUUCAUAACCAUAUCUCAUGGCAUCCCAAUGUGAUUCAUCGUGCGUGGGUAUUUUAAUCCUGUCCAAUUCAUGAGAUCCCUUUCUUUUAUUCGUCAGAUCAUUACUCAAUCUAAGGCCUAAACAUCAUUUUUUUUGUCUAUAAUAACUACACCCUCAUUUUAUUAACAGGGCAGCAUUCCAUCUCUUCUGAAUGUUAUUAGUCUUAGACUCCUUUGAGUUCAUUCAGGUUAUACUGAACUUUCUAUAACUUAGAGAAAGCAAUAGCUUUCUUGUUUUCAUGGCUCUUAAUCCCGAUGACUUAUCCGUUCUCGUCACCAUCUUACUCGCCCUUUCUCGUUCUUACUCCUGUCAUAAAACUUUGUCGCUUUACUAUAUUUUAGCAUGGGACCCAUACAUAUCUAUUUAUAUUAUUCACAUCUUUCCUUCAACUUGCUUGCACCAUAGAUUUCCUUAUGUUGUUCUGGAACAUCAAGUAAGACAUCACAUUGUCUCUAACUAUUCUUUACUCUCACAAUCAAGCUUUUCGAUACCUAGACCAUAGGUUAGAAGAUAUGCUAUUGACGUUGUUGCUAUCAUUCCUGGAUAUUCCCCGCGCUUCUAGCCUUCUAUCCCAAGUAUGGAAUAUUCUCAACCUUUUGCUUCUGAGUAUCUCGUUCAUUAUUCACAUUUACCUUACUUUCCUUAAAGCCUCACAUCACAUCUUAUAUCUCUUUCAUGACCUUCCCUCCACAUAGAUAUAAUGCACAUCCACGUCUUGAACUUCUAUUAUAAUACAUGCACCUUUUUACAAAAUCUCAUGAGAGCUUCAUACUAACCUCUUAUGAGGUUGAGACACCUCUAAGUGGCUUUAUCGUAGUGCCGUUAUAGAAUAUAGCUACUGCAUUAUCUCUCUCGUACCUUUGAUAGUAAGGGUGAUUCUGCAAUGUUUUCAAUCACGAUUUCUAUAAUUUUCAGGGUCCAAUAAUCAGAUUCCUGAUUUACUUCGUUGAUGUAUAUCUUUAGUUUCCUCUUUCUUAUCAGCCUUUAUGUAGGCUUAAGCCACCUACCGAUAUGAGGUUCGUGGUAUUAGUCAUUACUUUAGCCCUCCAUGGACGUUAUGGAAUAUCCAUGAUACAAUCUUUUAAUAAUUCAUUCCUUUAUCUAUGACCUGGGCUCAAUUCUUUCUUUUAAACUAUACCGAAAUCUUCUACGGCUAUAUGAUUGUCAACAUACAUGCUGCAUGGAUAAUACCCUGAACUCUCAAGUGCAUUCAUAAAGUAACCAAACUUUGGAUCAUUGAUCGAAUGAUUCUUUCAUUCCUUCUUAGUUUUCUUUAAACGUAAGCCAUUACCUUUCCUAUUAUUUCUUCCCCCUUGUUGCAUGCAUACUUAGCUUAUCUUAGCUCUCACGCAUACCGGAAUUUUCGUACAACUCAUAUGAUCUUCGAAUAUUGCUUUUGAUUUUACUUCCCAUUCAUUAGCCACGGUAGGUUCCUCUUUCUUAUGGAGAACGUACAAUGUCGUUGUGAAACUGUUGUUACAAGACCAUUUCCUCUUUAGGUUGCUGAGUUCAGGUUGCAGCCUUUUUCCUUAUUGUCCUUAACUUGUCUUUCAUUAUAGUACUUAGGGAGGACUCUCUGACUCUUGUAAAUCUGUGAGCUUAUUAUAUUGUACACUCGACGGACCAUCUAAUGUCUUUCGUUGCCUAUACUUAUCUGUAGUUACUUAUCUCCAUGCCCUUGUGCUUGUGGGGUUGAUUCUGGACUGAUAUUUUGACCGUCUUCCUAGUGGAACUCUUUUUUAUUUCCGUAACACUCAUACAGUACCUUUUUCACUUCGCCGCGGUAGGUUCCUCUUUCUUAUGGAGAACGUACAAUGUUGUUGUGAAACUGUUGUUACAAGACCAUUUCCUCUUUAAGUCGCUGAGUUCAGGUUGCAGCCUUCUUCCUUAUUGUCCUUAACUUGUCUUUCAUUGUAGUACUUAGGGAGGACUCUCUGACUCUUGUAAAGCUAUGAGCUUAUUACAUUGUACACUUGACGGACCAUCUAAUGUCCUUCCUUGCCUAUACUUGUCUGUAGUUACUUAUCUCCAUGCCCUUGUGCUUGUGGGGUUGAUUCUGGACUGAUAUUUUGACCAUCUUCCUAGUGGAACUCUUUUUUAUUUCCUUAACACUCAUACAGUACCUUUUCACUUCUCCAACUCUUAUAUGAAUAUAUCUCAACUAUUACAAUGUCAUAACUGCGGGGCUGAAUUCACUAUAUUGGGUUUUACUAUUUUUAUCUUGCACAACCUAUUGUUAUGUCUGUUUCCUCUUGACUGGCCAUAAUUAGGCUCUUCCUGAAUCAACUACUAACUACUCGUUGGCCCAUUCUCAUGUCAAUAUUCCACAAAAUCUUUCUUGGGUUAUUUUCUUUGUCUUAACUUACGUCUCACACUAACUCCUUAUCUAUCAAUAACAUCUCGGGCAGGGACCUGUACUUCCUCUCAUUGACGUCAUAAUUGCAUAAUGUUCUGGAAUUGUAGCAUAUACGUAGGAGCUGAAUAAGUGUAAUCUCAUUCCUUUUUUGUGUUUACCGCAUUCUUCAUUUACCAUUCCAUGAUUACUAGAACCAUUUAAUUCUGACUUUAUGUCACAUCACUUCAUAUUCCUCCCUUUAGGGGAGUACUAAGAUUUAGCAUUAUGAUGAUCUACUUGUAGAUGUUUUACCUCUUUAGCCUUGGCGUUUUCUCACAUCAUCGAUGACCCUUACUCGCCUUGUGGUAAUCCUUUUGUACCAAGAAAAUGAAAUUUCUCACUCGCGAAAGUGGCACUUAGUGUAACUGGCACACAUAGUCCCUUAAGCUUAAACUUUGCUCACAUUGCUUGCUUUAGGGAAGCGUCUUCCUGAAUGACCAUUUUUUGAAUUUCUUCUGAAUCUUUGUCUGUUGUCCAUUCUACUAUCGCUAGAACAAAAUCUAAAAUUCUCAUGAUGCCGACUAUUAUCAAAUCAUUCAGUCCUUAAUUUAUGUUUAGUUUAUCUUGUUCACCAGCCCAUACUGAUUCCUAUUACUCCGGGGUCUAACUUUUCCUCUUGGUAAUCGCUCUAGAGUUGCGAUCUUAUUUCUCAAAAUAAGGACAUGACUGUAUGGCAUAUACUCUUUUGUUGUCUUAAGGCUUAUCACCUCUUGUCUCUUCCUUUACUUGAAUAUAGAUUUUGUAAUAUUAUCAUCUUUUGAUCUACCGUUGUCAUCCAUGUACCACAUCUUACUCAGAAUGCUUCAUUAACUCUUUUCUUAUUUCCUGCUAACAUUUAUGCCUAUCACUUUAUUCUGAAAACUCGAACAAGAAAUUCUUUUGCUUUUAGCUUCCCUUUGUUCCAUCUAGUGGCUCAUCAAGUUGCUUAACGUUCUCUAUUUACUAGGGACANNNNNNNNNNNNNNNNNNNNNNNNNNNNNNNNNNNNNNNNNNNNNNNNNNNNNNNNNNNNNNNNNNNNNNNNNNNNNNNNNNNNNNNNNNNNNNNNNNNNNNNNNNNNNNNNNNNNNNNNNNNNNNNNNNNNNNNNNNNNNNNNNNNNNNNNNNNNNNNNNNNNNNNNNNNNNNNNNNNNNNNNNNNNNNNNNNNNNNNNNNNNNNNNNNNNNNNNNNNNNNNNNNNNNNNNNNNNNNNNNNNNNNNNNNNNNNNNNNNNNNNNNNNNNNNNNNNNNNNNNNNNNNNNNNNNNNNNNNNNNNNNNNNNNNNNNNNNNNNNNNNNNCUCUGAUACCACUUUUGUCACGACCCAAACCGAUGGGCUGCGACGGGCGCCCGGUAUCCUACUCAACCGAGUACCAAUGUAACGUAUCUUUCUUAUUAUAUUAUCAUAUACAUGUGACAUACGGGCCUAAUAGGCCCAAACUAUCCUUUAUAAACUCAAAUCAUAGGUUGACAAGGCCGUACAAUCUUUCAUGUACACGACAAAUGUCUACAAGCCUCUAAGAGUAUAUAAAUGUCAUAAAUGUUGGGACAGAGUCCCGCUAUACCAAAUAAUACACGUCUAAAUCAUACUAACCAAACACGCAACUUCAAAGCAAAUGGAGCGCACCAACAUCUUCUGCUGAGUUGAUAGCCUACUUGGAGGGCUCUCGACCCGUCUAUCUGGACCUGCGGGCAUGAAACGCAGUGUCCCAAGGAAAAAAGGGACAUCAGUACAAAUAAUGUACUGAGUAUGUAAGGCACAUAAAUAAGUACAUAACAGACAUGGAGGAAAUAUAGAAUAAAUGACUCCACCUGUAAGUCCGAAUAACUUUGUAAAUCAUGAAACAAUUAUAGUAUCAUGCAUAUGCGUAUGAAUGUCAUGGCGUGCAUAGGUACAUGUUUCAUAACAUCACCAGCCUCUGAGGACAUCCCAUCAUAUCAUCUUGUCCACUGUGGGCAAAAUCAUCAACAUAUACUAGAUGAUCAGGUGGUGGUGCGUAUAUAACGUCAUAACCUUUCCCAUAUCCUAUAUACAUAUAUAUACAUACAUAUAUACGCGUAUAUAACACCAUCCGGUCAUGGAUCAAUGUACAUGAAUGCAAUGCAUGAAAAUUACGUUAAUAAAAUCUUUCGGAAUGUCAUAAGACCAUUUUGCUGUUGAGUAAUAUCAUGAAAUAAACCUUAUCAACUUACGUAUUUUUUGAGACCCAUGAACAGAUGAAAGAAUAAUAGGACACAUGGAGAAUCAAGAACAUUGGCACUUCUAAUACUUCUAUGAAUAGAGUCAUUUAUGGAAGUUGGUCAUUUUCGCGUUUCGUUCAUAUCGUAUAGAUCAUGCCAAAAGAAAGAAGGGAUAGCCGUAACAUACCUGAGUCGAUUCUCUUGACAAUCCCUCUAAUAUACAUUGAUUACGACAAAACGCGUAACGGCGGAUCAAAGUAGGGGAAAAUUCGUAUGGUAUUCUUGAGAAAGAUUGCACCGUGCUCUCUUAGAAUCAGAUUUUACGCUAUUGUAGCAAUCCAUCCAUUAGCAAUCCUAGAUCUCUUGUAAGAGUUCAUAAGUAUUAUUUUGAAAAUGACAUGCUUUAGUUGUUGCCCAUAAUUUCCUCUUAAAUGACUAGCUCUCGUUUGAUGUGUGCAUGGAAUGAUGCAGCAAAUGGAGGUUCAAAUAAUCUUGUAAGUUUGUAAUUUGUGUAUAUCCAAAUACAAAAAUAGAGUGAAAGUAGGAACAAAUAUAACCCAUUCACUUGGUAUAUGGAAACACUUUUUCGUAUGAACAAUACCAAUAUGUAACAAUCUCUCAUAGUUUAAAGAUUUGUGGCCCCACUUUUGGGAUGACUUAGUCACAAAUAUAUCUUAAAAUAUGACACCUUGCAAUUCUUUUUAAAAGUCAUUGAUUUGAAUUGUGGGCUGCCACGGUACAAUCUUAUCCAAAUAUAUCCCCAAUUAAUUAGGUAAUGUCCUAUAACCCCGUAAAAUUGAGAAUUAUUCUCACUUACUUAAAAUAUUACUCACUUUUCACAUACCUUAUAUACCUUAUUAUUAUGGUCAUGUGGUACCUUGUAUGAUAUUAGUCCAUAAAUACCGAGUAUUUUAGCUUGAGCCGUAUUUUAUCCCAACAUGCCAAACUUGGACGAAAAUUCGUUUUCUUUGACUUNNN
RNAcentral lists this long non-coding RNA (9353 nucleotides) under Nicotiana tabacum (common tobacco). RNAcentral's name for it is "long non-coding RNA (NTAB_LNC000274)". Lineage: Eukaryota; Viridiplantae; Streptophyta; Magnoliopsida; Solanales; Solanaceae. The record is from RNAcentral.